Molecule: non-coding RNA, 29 nt
Filed under: Mus musculus (house mouse)
Lineage: Eukaryota; Metazoa; Chordata; Mammalia; Rodentia; Muridae
Source: RNAcentral
UAAAUCUCAAGAGUGCUUGUGUCCUGUGA